UACGUAGGGGGCAAGCGUUAUCCGGAUUUACUGGGUGUAAAGGGAGCGUAGACGGCAGGGCAAGUCUGGAGUGAAAGCCCGGGGCCCAACCCCGGGACUGCUUUGGAAACUGUGGAGCUAGAGUGCUGGAGAGGUAAGUGGAAUUCCUAGUGUAGCGGUGAAAUGCGUAGAUAUUAGGAGGAACACCAGUGGCGAAGGCGGCCUGCUGGACGAUGACUGACGUUGAGGCUCGAAAGCGUGGGGAGCAAACAGG
This 253-nucleotide ribosomal RNA is filed under the name uncultured Eubacteriales bacterium. RNAcentral's name for it is "uncultured Clostridiales bacterium partial 16S ribosomal RNA". It matches the Rfam family "Bacterial small subunit ribosomal RNA", at positions 524 to 776 of the family's 1533-position model. Lineage: Bacteria; Bacillati; Bacillota; Clostridia; Eubacteriales. The record is from RNAcentral.